AUGACAAUUUUUGAUAUGGCUCAAGGUGCCAUCGCGGGGAGAGAGCCGAAGCGCUGCCUGCUCGCCCGCACUGGUGCGGCUGGCUUCGGGGCCGCCUCUCUACUCGUGGUCCUCGCGCGCCGCGGCGAGCAACAAGACGCCGCGCUCCAAGUGAACUCAACGACGAGGACAUUAACGAAGGAAAAGCUCAAUGAAUGGCAUGGCAUGGAUGAGAAAAGUGGACCCCUCAAAAUACUAAGGAUAAAAGGAUUGGCUCAAGCUCAAAGCUCAAGACUCUACAUUUUAUAUUUUAGUGAUCCAAGAUCACAUUGA
RNAcentral lists this ribosomal RNA (312 nucleotides) under Triticum aestivum (bread wheat). RNAcentral's name for it is "partial small subunit ribosomal RNA". Lineage: Eukaryota; Viridiplantae; Streptophyta; Magnoliopsida; Poales; Poaceae. The record is from RNAcentral.